This 46-nucleotide ribosomal RNA is filed under the name Laccaria ochropurpurea. RNAcentral's name for it is "partial 18S ribosomal RNA". It matches the Rfam family "Eukaryotic small subunit ribosomal RNA", at positions 1789 to 1831 of the family's 1831-position model. The record is from RNAcentral. Lineage: Eukaryota; Fungi; Basidiomycota; Agaricomycetes; Agaricales; Hydnangiaceae. RNAcentral also lists the same sequence under 5 other names.
UCGUAACAAGGUUUCCGUAGGUGAACCUGCGGAAGGAUCAUUAUUG